RNAcentral lists this long non-coding RNA (1105 nucleotides) under Nicotiana benthamiana. RNAcentral describes it as "long non-coding RNA (NBEN_LNC019927)". The record is from RNAcentral. Lineage: Eukaryota; Viridiplantae; Streptophyta; Magnoliopsida; Solanales; Solanaceae.
AAAAAAGGCCCAAAAUCUGAAAAAACAUAGCCGAGAAGAUCAGUAGACGAGACCCCCUCCCUGAUUUCUGAGCUCCCACUAACCACCCCACCUCCAAACGAUCCUUCAACUCUUCCCUUACCAAACAGCGGCGAACUCGCCGGAGCAGCCAGCUUCAACCCCAAAAAUCCCAAGAUCCAUGAACACCCCUAGAGCACUAAGCUUCAGCAACACCAACCAGUGACCAUCUCGAACCAGUAGCAACCACUGGCACCAGUGAAAUCCGGCAAGCACCACUGCGUCACUAGAAUCCGCCUGAAAACACGCACCCAAACACUGAAUUUUUCGGCUCAAGUUCUUUUGUUUCCUUUAACAAUUUGUGAAAGAAAUUUCUUAUAAAUUAUUGGGGGAGUUUGUUCGAGUUUGCAACUUGGCCGUUGUUGAAAUUUGUCGCAGUUCCGGCGAACGGGCGCAGUUCCGAUUGUUGACAUUCUGUUGAUUGCGAAAAUCAGAUCCGAUUUGUUAGUAAAAUCAUUGAGGUCUGUUUCAUUUGAUUUUUAGUUAAUUCAUGAAUCUUAGGACUUAUUUUUGGAGGAAUAAAUUUGAGUUUGAAUGAUUGGUAUUUUGAGUGUUCUUUAUCUGGUAUCAUAAAGAUUGAUUUGAGUAGAUAAUUUGGUUUAAUAGUGAUUAUUCUCUGUUAAAUGGUUUUGGGUUAUUGUUCGGUUAUUAUUGGCUACAAGCAAUUUGUUUGUGAUGAUGUGCAUUUUUUGGGGGACUAUGUUCCUUGAGUUGCGUAUUGUUCUUACUGUUAUUGACUGCUACUUUAUAUUCUUGCAUUGAAGGUUUAAUUCAUUUUUUAUUUUUAGUUGCUGGAAUAGUUUUCAAGUACCCUUGUACUUAAGUUUUCAAGUGGGAUGGCCAUUGUAAAUGUUUCUCCGGCGAAAGAAUGAAAAAGGUUUGUUUUACCGUUAGUUAGUCUGAGAAUUGUCAAACUAGUAUAUAUCAUUGUGGUGAACUUCUUAAUGCCUAGUUUUAGUUACACUGCUUUUUGUUUUCUUUCCCUUUUUACAUUUGCUCAUUGUUGGUAAACUGCCUGAUGUCUUGGUUGUUAUCUUUUCCCUUUACA